GCCUACGGGGCGCAGCAGUAGGGAAUCUUCCACAAUGGGCGAAAGCCUGAUGGAGCAACGCCGCGUGGGUGAAGAAGGUCUUCGGAUCGUAAAACCCUGUUGUUAGAGAAGAUAGUGCGUGAGAGUAACUGUUCACGUUUCGACGGUAUCUAACCAGAAAGCCACGGCUAACUACGUGCCAGCAGCCGCGGUAAUACGUAGGUGGCAAGCGUUAUCCGGAUUUAUUGGGCGUAAAGAGAACGCAGGCGGUCUUUUAAGUCUGAUGUGAAAGCCUUCGGCUUAACCGGAGUAGUGCAUUGGAAACG
This 305-nucleotide ribosomal RNA is filed under the name uncultured bacterium. RNAcentral describes it as "bacterial SSU rRNA". It matches the Rfam family "Bacterial small subunit ribosomal RNA", at positions 337 to 634 of the family's 1533-position model. The record is from RNAcentral.